RNAcentral lists this transfer-messenger RNA (399 nucleotides) under Bacteroidales. RNAcentral describes it as "Cryptobacteroides sp017626555 Standard tmRNA". It matches the Rfam family "transfer-messenger RNA". Rfam says of the family: Bacterial tmRNA, also known as 10Sa RNA or SsrA, is named for its dual tRNA and mRNA-like properties. Its role is to liberate the mRNA from a stalled ribosome. The record is from RNAcentral. RNAcentral also lists the same sequence under 1 other name. Lineage: Bacteria; Pseudomonadati; Bacteroidota; Bacteroidia.
GGGGAUGUUUUGGUUUUGACAGCAUCAGACAUUGGAUGGUAAGCACGCCGGGCGUGGGAGGUUUGCCCGUUAAUCUCAGCCUUCGAACAAUUAGUUGGCAACAACUCAUACGCACUCGCUGCGUAGUCUGCUAAGCACACUACCUUAAUCCGCGGGGUCAAGGCUACCUCGCCGACGAGUAUCCCUCCAGCCUUUAGGCCGGUUAUGGCUGGAACCCGGGGUAUCAUCCAAACCGGAUGCACGGAGCGACUCCUUUAAACUCCGCCAAGACUUAAAGGAUAAGCGCACGAUGGCCUGUCAUCCGGCAGCCGUGCGUCGAAAACCAAAGGACGACUAAGCGUGUAGAAAGCCGCCUGGUGCGGUGUUUGGACGGCGGUUCGAGUCCGCCCAUCUCCACAA